Molecule: long non-coding RNA, 7517 nt
Filed under: Capsicum annuum
Lineage: Eukaryota; Viridiplantae; Streptophyta; Magnoliopsida; Solanales; Solanaceae
Description: long non-coding RNA (CANN_LNC008355)
Source: RNAcentral
UUUGAUAUCAGCCGUUGAUCAAAAUGAUCCCACGGCUGAUAUCCAAAACUCCAAUAUUUCCUUUUAUCUCAAUUACCCCCAACCCUAAUCCUUAUUUCUCAAAACAAUAGCAGCUCCUCUCCUGCUCUUUCUCUCUUUAUUCCCCCUUCUCUCUAAAAAACUAACACCGGCAGCCAGCUAACGAUCAACUGCAGCCACCACCGGCAACCCUACACCAGAGAACACCAUCCAAUGAGCCAGCCCCUGCCGGAGAUCCCUCUCUGCUACCCUUCUUCCGACGAAUAACCACCGUUCAGCCACUGCCGCCUCUUCAUCUCAACCAUCUCCCGCCGCUGCUCAACUGCCACUGGCAAAACAGAUAAGCCGCUGGUCUCUCAUCUCUCUACAAUCCCUCCGUCAUCCCUCCAACUGUGGCAAGCCACCAGUGGCCGACGAAAUGCCUCCAACCAACGUCAACUCCACUACUCCCUCUGUCAGCUUCCAUAAUUUUUUAGCCAUGCAGCCGGCGCCACCACCACAACAACAAUAAUACAUCGCCGACGCUGCUCCAGUCAAAUCCACAAAAUUUUCAUAACGGAUUCUUAAGAAUCUGUCUUAAGAUUUGAGUUUCUCGGGCUAAUUUAAUCAGCUACCCUCUUCUUUUUAUUUUAUUCAAGGUAUAUCUUGUGAUUUAAAAUUAACAAAAACUUGUUUGAGGUUUUUGGCCUAAUUUCUUACGAUUUGGGUUUGCUAACUUCCUUAGAUUAUCAUCUAUCAGAAUCCCUGAUUUUUACGAACCGUGGUUAGAAUUAAUUUUGCAUGAAAAAAAUUUGAAGUUGCUAAUGUUCCCAUGGUCUAUCGAACAUAUUCAUCGCUAUCAUUUUGUCAUAAUUUUGGGUAUGUUGGUGUUGAUCGUUGUUGUUGUUGUUUACAUAAAAACUCAUUACGUGUGAUUAUAUGCGGCUAAUUAUUUGCUCCGCUUUAAUUACUGUGUGAAUGUGAAUUAGAAUUAACUUAGUAGUAUAAUUUUUCCUACUUCUCUACUGCUAAUUUGAAUUUUUCUACUGUUGUCUGUCUUAAUUUGUGGAAAGGAGAUUUCACUAAUUGAAUAUUCUUUUUAUUUUGUUAGAUGUUAAUUGACGCAGUUUCCUAGUUGAAAUUGAGACGACUUUUUUAAUUGAGUCAUUUCUAAAUAAGUAUUACUUGAAUAUUUAUGACGUGCGUGUGAUUGAGGAUCUAUGCAUUGGUUAAUUUGCUCUAGUUAUUGUAAAAAUUGCAGAGAAAUUGCGUGGGUUUUUAUUUAUUUUUACAUAUUGUGAAUAUUUGUGGCAAGUAGCAUAAUUUUCCCUCUUCAGUGAUUUGAUUUACUGAUUUAAAGUGAUUGAUUUGAGAAAAUAUUUAUUCCUUUUCUUCCUUUUUAUUACCCUGAUUGAUUAUCACAUAUUUUUACCUUCUAACUCUUUCUGUUGUCCACUAUAUAAGGGUCCCUCCUUAUUUAUAUUCAAACACCUCUUAUCACACACUCCUACUCUGACUUCUACACUAUUCUACACUACACUUAAGUGCUAAAUUUUGCCUGCUGCUUCUACUUUGGGAUUUCUAAUUAUUGUUUACUUAUACGGCUGCUUAUCCACUCUUGAAAGUUCAAUCUUCUUUUGUUAUUGUGCUGUGGACCGGUUUUUUUAAUUAGACGAUCCAUUUAAUUACUACACGAUAAUUUUAAAUGCUUUAAUGCUUAUCUUGAUUGUUUUCUAAAUGCUAUUAAGUUGUUUGCUGUGACAUAUUUGUAAAUUCAUCAUUUCUUCGUAUGCUCUCUCGAUUGAAAUGCUAUAUAUCUGUUGUUUGUUGUGCAUUUGGGAUAUGUGGCUUUGUUUUAUAGAUAUUAUCGAGCCUCCGACAUUAUAUGAAGGGCUGCCGAAAAUUGGAAUAUUGUUAGUUGUAGUUCCUUAUGUUUUAUCUCUUUUUCACUUUCUAUGUAAUUAAUUGUACAAACUUUAGUGAUGUAAUAAUGUAGUAAUCAAUUAUAGGGGACUGCUUGGGGACGGGGUGUUAUGUGAAUCUCUUAGGGAAACGAAAUUUAGGAUUCAUCAAUUGACUUGGUUUGUCACUUAUAAAACAUGCCUAUGGGAUCAUUAAUCAACAUGUGGCUCAAGAUUAAUUUCAACCUCUGUGCUUAAUUUCUGGCUAUCGUAGGCGGUUUAAAAUUCAGAUGUAUAUUUUCAACAAUUAAAAAAGGAAUCAUCAUCAACUAACACAUAAAAUGAACUUUCAGUAAUUAAAAUAGAAGUUUCACUAUGUAGUUCCACAUAUUAAAUCACUUUUCAAGAUUUUAAAAUAAGUUUCCCGUAUAUAGAAUAAUUUGAGCAAUUUAGAAUUAAUUUUUAGCAUGUUAAAACACAUUUCCAGCACAUCAAAAUAGUUGGUCUUUCUUAAGUAACUAAAUAUUUCUUUACAGUGUGUACAUUGGUUUCCAGCAUAUUAAAGGGUGAAGAUGAUUUAUAAGUAUAUUAAAACAAAUUUUCAAAACAUAAAAUUGGAUUUCGCUCAUUAUCUUAUCAAUUCGUAGAAGAGAUUUUCACAUGCGAAUUAUUUUCAGCAAUUAUGAUAUAGUUUUUCUGACACUACAAAUAAUUUCCAAACACCUUUCACUAAUUUUACAACAUGUUUCUUUUAUAAUAAAAUUAACGAGGAUUACGCUCCAACAUAGUUACUUUAUUUUGACAUACUCUGUUUUUAAGUGAUUUGACAACUACUUUCCGUCAAUAAAUCGUUACUUUCCAUGUAGACAUCAUGCUUAAUUAUCUUUUACAUAAUAAAUUAACGUUCUUAUUCUCUCACAUUUUGAUAUGCCCCUUUUUAUUCUCAACGAAUUUUACAAUAUUAUUUUAAAAUGAUUAAUAAUUAUCUUCCAUCAUACUAACAAUUCCUUAGAUACCAUGCCUAUAGGUUAAUGACACAAAAAUAAAUAAUUAUUUGUCUUUGCAUGUUAAUCAUAUUAACCAUUAUUUAAUAAUCAAGAGGCUAACUUUGGACAAUUAUGUGCUACAUGAUGUCCUAUGUGUUUACGCACUUUGAGUUCUAGGAAACAUAUCUUUAUUUUUCUAGACCACAAAUCGAAAUUAGCAAAGCCCAAUGCUUCUUGGGCGAUAGGUGGGACGAUAGGUAUUUCUAUAGGCAUUAGUUUUACCCUUUUUAGUGCACCUUUAGGUUAACAAUCAGCCUAGAUGGGCUGGGACAGGUAGUUAUUCGAAAGUGAUAUUACCCAGAAACAUUACACGAUGUUUGACAUUGUUACUUGUUUAAGCAUUCGGCUAGUUGGCCAGAUACUGACUAACAAGUUAUGGUUCUGAUCCGAAUGAGACCAAAAACUAUUCUUUGUUUGAUUUUGCGAAUUCUUUUUUUUAACGUUUACUGUAUAUGCUUAUUUGCUUGGGGUAGUUUAGGUUUUGAAAUUAAUAAAUAUUUUUGUUAUAAAUUAUGUCACUUCUCUCUCCUCACUUGUCUUAUUUACAUUUUUUAUUGAUUUCAUCACUUCGGUAAUUGAUAGUUAAAAUAACCAAAUAAUGUAUUUGUUUAUUCAUUACUUUAUCACUUAGUCAACAUUUAUGUUAAUAAUAAAAUCAGUGACCUUUGUUUUAUCACAUAGAAUCUCCACAUAAAAUACGAAUUCGGCCGGAAAUCACCUUUGUGGACCUCGAAAGGUUCCUAACACCUUACUUUUGAGGUAAUUUGAACCCUUACUCGAAUUUCUAGUGAACUAAGACUAAACAACAAAAUAGGUUCGUAGUUAGCCUAGAUCGGUGCCCUAACAAACCUUAAUUCGUAAGGUGGCGACUCUUCACACUCUUAUCAAAAUAAUCCCAAAACGAGUGGCCACGUCGAAUCCUGCUUUUCACGAAAAAUAUAAGGCGCGACAAGCAACCUCCUAAGAUUUAAUUUCAUGGUUUGCGGACUAUGUAAAUUAUCUAGCUAGUGAUCUAGUCCAAGAAGAUCUCUCCUUCAAACAAAGAAAGAAUUUUAUACAUGAGGUAAGGAAAUUUUUCUGGGAUGAGCCUUAUUUAUUCAAAAUUAAUGCGGAUGAGAUUAUUCGUAGAUGUAUGCCUAAGGUGGAGAUGAUGAGCAUAUUUAACGCUUGUCAUUCUUUGCUAGUUGAGGGUCAUCAUGGAGGAACCCGCACAACCCACAAAAUCUUGCAAUGUGGGUACUACUGGCCAAUAAUUUAUAAGGAUACAAAAUCCGUACUGCUUGCGAAUUUUAACAAGUUAAGCAACUGUUCAACGUUUUCCCUAUGAGUUCGACCACAGCCUAGUUUAGGUUACUAUAAUUGGUAUCAACCGCGACAUACUUUUUUGAAGGUUAGUUUUGGGCGAUAUGAACAACUUUGGGGACCUGCUCUUCCUUAGCAAACAAGUCUAAAUAACUAGGUCGGUGUGGGGGCAGCGGUUAGGCAAGUAUGGUGAUCUUAGGAGGAAUGGAUCGAAUGUGAAUCUCUGUAAGAGAGUAUACCUCGGUGCACAAUGUAUCCACCUCAUCCCUAAUCUCAGCUAGAUCAGGUGCCUCAAUCUCAAUAAAUCAUACCUGCACUCUUCUCUCAGAAGUAUCAAUGCGGCUAUGCAACUCGAUCCUCAUCUCGGUCCUCAUCUUUACCAUCUCAGCCCUCACAACAACCCAAAUCUAAUUCUCUGCACUCUCUAAAGAUAUUUGGUCCCAAGGCUGGAUCUGCUUAUAUAAUAUGGAAAUCUCAGACUCUGCCUUAAUCAAUAGUGUUAUGGUCUCAUCUUACAUCUCUACUAGGUGCUGUAAAAAUUCUUGAGGUACUACAAUUAUUCCUGGAGUUAUAGAAGUGGCAAGGGGGUCUAGAAGAUACCCUAACCAACUCAACAGUAAAGGGUGGUGCUAAAGUAGAUAUGGCUGGGGUCCCCUCCUCUUGAGUUCUCAUCUCAGGAGCCUUUCUCUUCUCACCCAUCUAAAAGUCCAUACUCAUAUCCACAUCAACUCCCAGUUUAUAACUAGGCUUUACAGGAACUGAUGGGUCCUUCGAUAGGGCUAGAAUUACUGUUGGAGGCCUAUGAGUCCUCUGAGCAUGGACCGAGUUUGUCGGAUCCUUAAUCAAACUCGUUUGGGCCACACCAAUCAUCUUAACUAUCUAGUCAACACCUCAAACCUUAGUUACAACAUCCUCAUCGUAUAGCUACUGGACAAGGUAAGGAAAGGGUAGUAUGGUUAAUUCACCUAAAGCUCUCUUAUAUAGCUCAUACAUGAUAAUGGCUGCAAAGUCUAUAUCAUAUUUAACCUUCAGACUCGCAAUCAAUGCAACACCAUCCUAUGUAAGGAAGUUUUCCAUAUUAUUCGGAUAUAAUCGGUAAAAUACCACCAUCUAUCAUAACUUUAUAGUAAAUUUAGUGUUGCCUUCUUAAUGUGCCCUUUUUCCUUGAUCUAAGGGGCCUCCUCACCAAGAUUUGAAAUAUAAUUGGCAAUCUAUCUUUCCAAAUCUACCCCCUAUUUCUUAUGUUUAACAUCCUUCAUAAUGCAUCUAUCUUAUGUAAAUUUUAAUUGAAAAUUGCACUUUACAGUAGAUACUAGUGCUAUAUAAUCUGGGACAAAAAGAGAUCGACGGAUGGACUCUAUUGAAAUAUCAACCAUGAUACCUCUCACCAUUUUUUGCUCUAACUGAGGGUUCUCUACACGCCUACAAGCUCUAGGUAUGGUCAGAGAUACCAUAGCACAGUGAGAGGAAUAAAAAUCCCGCACUAAUGCCUGACUAUAUGAAUCCUAUGUUCUAGUCAUCUACCCUAACUGAUAACAAUCAAAUACAACCCCCAAAAGUGGUGCUCCAACAAAAACAAAAAACUCAAUCUAUUUCUCCUCCCAAAUAUCCUUCUUGGGUUGGCCUAACCCAGUCAUAAAGCUAUCUCUCUUAUUAAUUAUCCGUAACCCUUAUACGUACUACCUCGUAUUCACCUCAGCAAUAAGCUCAAUUGAGAUAUGAGUAGGAUCGAAAGUCUGGUCAGUUUGGGUAGGUGGCUCUAUUUCUGGUGCUGGAACCUAAUGAGUUGUCUGGAUUUUACCUCCUUACACUUGGGUACUGUAGAUAAUGGCUCAAGAACUGCUACUACAAACUCAUCUUGUGACCCUUCCUUAGACUGGAGGUGCUCUGCUAGUGGCUUUGACUCUACCUCCUCUUCAUCAUCUUCCUUUCCCUUAUUAUACUAGGGAGAGUAUGGAGGUGACAACCUAGAUGACUUUAUUCGCAGCUUGGAAACUAGUCAGAUGGCCUCUGGCUAGGCCCUAGCCUGAGUAAAAGUGGUCUGUCUGCCUCACUGUGUUCGUGUUGGGAGAUAGAUUCCCAAAAUGGCUCUAAUAAUAUGCUCGAUUGUAUCCUGUAUAUGGGCCCUAGUCUGUGGGUGAACUGCUCUAGUCAGGGCAAUUUGGUACUUCUUUAAUGAGCCACUGCACUCGGGGGUUUUGACCCGUUGCCUCGAUGGUCUUUCCUUCUUUGGUGCCAUAGUACUUGAAAAAACAAGUGUUAAGAGAAUAAUGGAGUGCAAACUUUGAAUAAAAAUUAAAAUUAUUAAACUUUUGACUUUUUUUUUAAAUUUUACAUCCCUAUAUAGUAAAUUGUAGCCCAUUCCAAUUCAAGAAUGCACAUAUCACUAGUAUCAAUAAACAAAGCACAGGCAUGACUUAUAAACUUUUGUACUUCAUCAUGUUUUCAACUUUUAAUUUCAAAUAGGGCAUGAUCAUAGGGUUUUAAUUCUAGAACAAUGCCCUAAUUUCAACUUUCUUGAUUAUUCUAGGCUCCUAUAAACAAGGACUUUGAGUUUAACAUAAUUUUAUAGAAUAUUCAAGUACCAACUCAUUUAUUAUAUGUUAAUAUCGUAUUAUUGAACUUGUCCGAGCCAUGAAGUUUACCUUUUAUUAAAGAUGGAAGAAGAACCUUGAAUAAGUAUAGAAACCCUAGCCUUAGUCAAUAAAUUUGUGUGCAAGUGAUGGACUGAGUGAUGGGUCUUUCCUUAUAUAGAGUUUGAGAGGAAAUUGGAAAGUUUGAAUUUUAGAGGGAGAUGGAAAUUUGAGGAUUAUAAAGUGAAUACCCAUGCCAAUUUUUGCAUGGUUAUGAUUAGGGUAGGCCCAGAUUUUUUUUAAAAAUUAGGCCAAAAAAUCUAGUCACUUAUGGCACCAGCAAUGGGGCAUAGGUGGCACCUACUACCCAUAGGUUCCUUCCCGUAGGUGACCUUGAGUUUUGUGCUCUUUCCUUGCUCUAUGAACUUUUUAUUCUGACACAUAUUUCACUACUUACGAGGUCUUAAGUGAUACUUAUUACUCAAUAAGUAGGUUUGUAGGUGGAAGUUCAAAAAUUCCUAAAAAUUCUCAAAACUUUCUUUUGAUUUUAAAUACACUACUUACCUGGACCGAGUGGGACUUAUGACCUCGAUGAGUGGGUCAAUAAGUCUACUUACUUGGAAUAAUCUAAAUUAAGUGAUGAUUUACCUCAUUCUAGGUUGUUCCUUAUGCUAUAGACCUACAAAGAAAGAAAAAAA